Molecule: ribosomal RNA, 389 nt
Filed under: uncultured bacterium
Lineage: Bacteria
Description: bacterial SSU rRNA
Rfam family: Bacterial small subunit ribosomal RNA
Source: RNAcentral
GACGAACGCUGGCGGCGUGCUUAACACAUGCAAGUCGAGCGGUAAGGCCCUUUCGGGGGUACACGAGCGGCGAACGGGUGAGUAACACGUGGGUGACCUGCCCUUAGCUCUGGGAUAAGCCUGGGAAACUGGGUCUAAUACCGGAUAUGACUCCAUGACGCAUGUUGUGGGGUGGAAAGCCUUGUGCGGCUAGGGAUGGGCCCGCGGCCUAUCAGCUUGUUGGUGGGGUGAUGGCCUACCAAGGCGACGACGGGUAGCCGGCCUGAGAGGGCGACCGGCCACACUGGGACUGAGACACGGCCCAGACUCCUACGGGAGGCAGCAGUGGGGAAUCUUGCGCAAUGGGCGAAAGCCUGACGCAGCGACGCCGCGUGAGGGAUGAAGGCCUU